UAGGGUUCGGCAACUUCAAGCUUUAAUUAGUAAGUGAUUUUGAUUCGGUUUUUAAUAAUUUUUAUAUUUUUGAGAUCGUUGCUUCGAAUGCUAGUAAAUCCAUGCUUCAAUUUUCGGAAUUUAUGUUGAUUUUGUGUUUUGCCAUUGUUGAAAGUUUGAUGAUGAAAAAUAAAUAUGUAUUAAUAGAUUUUUUUAUGUUUUGGUUAAAUAAUGAUUCGGUUGAUGAAUUUGUUUUCGGUUGUGGCUUAAUUGGAUAAGCUAAGUGAUGAAUAAAUCAUUGCUUGUAUAAUUGGAUUUAUUGGUGCAUUUACGAAGACAAGAAUAUUCAUGAAUUAUAGUUGAUUUGUUAAUUAUUAAGUUAAGUUUAAGGUGUUUAGUUAAUAUGACUAUUUGGUUAUGAAAUUGGUAUAAAAUAUUUUUUAAUAUAAUUUGCUAGCCGAAUAGAUGAAAAACAAUUUGGUUUUGAAAAUGACAUUUUAGCAUGAUUCUUAGCAUGUGAACUUGACAUAUUUCUAUUCGGCAUUGGUACUUAGUAGAUGACUAUUAAUAGUUAAAUGAGUGGUGCAUGAAUUAUUUUUAAAUACAAUGGAGAUUCGGUCAUUUGGUAAUGCUUGUAUGUACUUGUAUAUUUUUGUCUAAUAAUCCGUGUGGAAUAACUUGACCAUUCAGUAAUGGUUGCUAAUAUUUCAUGUUUGGAUGUAUUAAUGUAUGUGCAUUAUAUGUGCUGAAUCAAGUUGUAAAUAAAUAUAUAUAUGUUACUGAUUGAAUUGAACUUUGGAGAAUUUGUUCCGAGUGUGAAAUAAAUUGGAGAAAUUGGCUACUAGGGCCUAAGGUAAAUUCGGUCUAACACGGGUUAGAUAAGAUUUUGUGUAUUUGGAAAUAGGGACUAAUUUGUGAAAAUGUGAAAUAUUAGGGGCUAAUGUGCAAAUUGCCCUUUUUAUGUGUUUUUGGGUGAAUUUGAGUAUAUGUGAGAUUAAAUAUGCAUGAUAUUUGAUGCAUAUCCGGGUUAAAUCCCGCAGGCUUCGUGCUGGUAUUAUAUCCGGGUUUUAUCCCGCAGGCUUUGUGCUGGUAUUAUAUCCGGAUUUUAUCCUGCAGGCUUCGUGCUGGUAUUAUAUCCGGGUUUUAUCCCGCAGGCUUAGUGCUGGUAUUAUAUCCGGGUUAAAUCCCGCAGGCUUAGUGCUGGUAUUAUAUUCGAGCUUAAAGUUCUGCAGGUUCUAUGCUGGUGAGCGGAUUCGGGUUUUAAACCUAGCAGGCUUAACGCCGGUGAUUCAAGUAAGGUUAUGAAUUCGAAAUUUCAAGGUAAACUACUAUUGAAUAUGUAUGAUACAUUAUGAUAGUCAGGUACGUAUUAUGUACUCACAUGUGAAUUGAUUUUUAAGGUGAAUUAUAGUAUCAAAGAACGAUAUAUGUGUGUGAAUGAUUACUAUAUCUACGAAUAAGAGCAUGACCUAUUCGGUCGAUGUCUAUCAUUAUAUGAAAGUAUGUGACCUAAAUUAAUUGUACGAGCUUCCAGAGAUAUCCGAGUAUCCUCUUUGUUUCCGAAUGGUUCAACUGGUACUCUGAGAAGUAAAUGAAUAUAUAAAUGUGCAUCCGAUUCAGGUAUAUUGCAAUGUUUAUGAAAUUGAGUAAUGAAAGUGAAUAUGAUUAUGAUUUAUGGAUAUAUAAUUCAGGUACGUGUGUUUCGAUUAUGAAAUUCAUAAAUGAAAGGUGAUUAUGUUUCAAGUGAUAAUAUGUGAAAUAUAUGACAUCAAAUAAUGUGAAUGUAUAAAUAAAUGGUGUGAUACAUAUAUGUUUGUUAUACGAAUUGUGGUCCUAUGUUUUGAGCAUGGGAAUUAUGAAAUGAGAAACAUGGUUUUGGGAAAUGAAAAGUAAUAUAUAUGUGUAAGAUAAUAUGUGAUUUAUAAGAAAAUGAAAUGUGAAUAUGUGCUCUAUAUAUAUGAAAUUGAAAUGUAGCCAAAUGGAUAAGUGUAAGAUGAUAUGUGAUUUAUAAGAAAAUGAAAUGUGAAUAUGUGCUCUAAAUAUAUAUGAAAUUGAAAUGUAGCCAAAUGGAUAAGUUAUAUAUGAAGUGGUUAGUGAACCAUUACAUGUUUUGGUUAUUCAUGUAAUGAUUAUGUGCAAACUUGAUUUAUAUGAUUGAGUUAACGGUUGUCUUUUGAAUGUGAAAACGUGAUAUAUAUAUUCAUUGAUAAAUAAGAUAAGAGAAGCUACUUAAUGUGGUUAUAUGAAUUUACGAGUACAAGAUUGUAUAAGUGAUUGAUGUUUGUUAAAUUUGGUUUAAUGAUAAUGAUUUGUAAAUAUCAUUGAAAUGAUUUAUUUGCUUAUGACUUACUAAGCUUUCUAAGCUUACUCUGUGUGUUUUUUCUAUGGUCAAAGAUUUUCGGAGACUUGCUCGGGAUAGAAGUCAUUGGAGACCACAUCACACUAUCUAGUUAUCACUUCGGUAAUUAAAAGCUUUAAGUUUUUGGUUAUGUGGCAUGUAUAGGCUAAAUUCAAUGUGGUUCAUUUUGAUUUGUAUAUGUAGCCAUGCGAGAAUGGCUUGUUAAUGAUGUUAAUGUUUGUGUAUAUUCAGGCAUGGUAUAAGC
RNAcentral lists this long non-coding RNA (2582 nucleotides) under Gossypium barbadense (sea-island cotton). RNAcentral describes it as "long non-coding RNA (GBAR_LNC002750)". The record is from RNAcentral. Lineage: Eukaryota; Viridiplantae; Streptophyta; Magnoliopsida; Malvales; Malvaceae.